RNAcentral lists this long non-coding RNA (1175 nucleotides) under Marmota monax (woodchuck). The record is from RNAcentral. Lineage: Eukaryota; Metazoa; Chordata; Mammalia; Rodentia; Sciuridae.
AUUAAUUUAUACAUACAAAACCUACAAAGGAAAAAAUAACUUACUCAUGAUCACACAAUCACAUGAUCAAUUUGUACUUUCCUUGGGACUCACUCAUGAUCUGCUUCAUGAAUUAAAUUUAACAAAAAGUCACUUGAUACUUUUUCUAACCUCAAACCAGUAAGGGAUGCAAAUAUAUAAUGAGAAGACCAUUUAGCUAGAGCCUACUGUAUAGUAGACAAGUCAAUACAAAAACAAGUGACACUUUUGUGUCCUUUCACAGUGAAUACUACAACACAGUGUAAGGAAAAUGAUUUAGUCAUUCUUUUUUCUGCUAUAACUCAAAGAUCUGACAAGAAUAAUUGUAGAAGAGGAAAAGUUUAUUUGUAGGUUCACAGUUUCAGAGGUCUCAGUCCACAGACACCAGGCUCCAUUCCUCAGGGCUCAAGGUGAGGCUGAACAUCAUGGUGGAAGAGUGUGAUGGAAGAAAAUGGCUCACAUGAUGAUCAGGAAGAAGAAAGAGAGACUCCACUGACCAGAUACAAAAUGUAUAUCCCAAAGGCAUGCCCCCAGGGACCCACCUCCUCCAGUCAUAUCCUACCUACCUUCAGUUAUCACUCAAUUAAUCUCAUGGGGGAAUAAUUCACUGACUGGGUUAAGACUGUCAUAACCCAAUCAUUUAUCCUCUGAACCUUCUUGCAUUGUCUCAUGAGCUUUUGGGAGACACCUCACAUCGAAACCAUAACAGAAAAUGUACUACAAUGGUCAAAGAAUGUGUUACUUGAAUGAAAAUGUAAAUGGUAUUUAUUUGCUAGGUAUGUAAUUGAGGUAGUCUAGGAAAUAAGAAAGAACAUGCUUUUGAGAUACUUUAAAUAUACAUCAGAUUUGGAGAGACCAUGAGCAGAACUACAGAGGUAAAACUUUGGAACAUGUACAGAAAAGGAAAUAUGUUCACCUGUUUGUGAAAUAUGACUUGUGUGUAAAAGAGUAGUGGUGAGUAGACUUUAAAAUUAAAUGAAAGAUAAUGUUGUAUCUAAUUUAAUGCUUAAAGCUGUUUGGAGUUCAUGAAGUCAAUCACUUGCAUCUCUCCAAAUCUCUGGUUUCAUUACUAUAUUUAGAAAUUGGGCUCAGUAAAUCUACUUAUGAAUUCUAAUCUACUCAUUUGUUUUUUUCUUUAGAUUUUCACCUUAAUAUUU